AUACGUAGGGGGCGAGCGUUGUCCGGAAUGAUUGGGCGUAAAGGGCGCGUAGGCGGCCCGGUAAGUCUGGAGUGAAAGUCCUGUUUUUAAGAUGGGAAUUGCUUUGGAUACUGUCGGGCUUGAGUGCAGGAGAGGUAAGUGGAAUUCCCAGUGUAGCGGUGAAAUGCGUAGAGAUUGGGAGGAACACCAGUGGCGAAGGCGGGUAACUGGACUGCAACUGACGCUGAGGCGCGAAAGUGUGGGGAGCAAACAGGAUUAGAUACCCUGGUAGUCCACACUGUAAACGAUGAAUACUAGGUGUGCGGGGACUGACCCCCUGCGUGCCGGCGUUAACACAAUAAGUAUUCCACCUGGGGAGUACGAUCGCAAGGUUGAAACUCAAAUGAAUUGGCGGGG
Molecule: ribosomal RNA, 396 nt
Filed under: uncultured bacterium
Lineage: Bacteria
Description: partial 16S ribosomal RNA
Rfam family: Bacterial small subunit ribosomal RNA
Source: RNAcentral